CGUUGCAUUGCCGUGGUGCUAGCUAGUGCUAAGCUAGUCAAGUUCAACAGCCAGUAUUUUCAACUUGUGGCAGUAAGAUUCUUUCCCGAAAGAUGGUUGGAAAUGUGUAUUUGCAGUUGGACUGACCUUUUACUGUUUAGGAUUCCCCCAAUCACGCAAUACCAUCAGCGCUAGGAGGGUGAAGGAUGGUGAUAUGGCUGCAACUGAACGGGGGAUUGAGGAGACUGUUCUGGGGAUCUGUGUGACUAGAGUUGAGGGAGCUGAAGCCAUGGACCCCCUGCCAAUACUGGAGUGGUAUUAGAAGGUGGUGUGGUUCUUGGGCAGUGUGUUCCUUGCCUUUGCAGUUCGGGCUGAUUUAUGCCUUAUACAGUGU
Long non-coding RNA from Trichomycterus rosablanca, 373 nucleotides. RefSeq lists it as uncharacterized. NCBI's taxonomy places the organism in Eukaryota, Metazoa, Chordata, Actinopteri, Siluriformes, Trichomycteridae. The transcript has 4 exons. The record is from RefSeq and is a predicted model, not a curated record.